Molecule: long non-coding RNA, 989 nt
Organism: Rhipicephalus microplus (southern cattle tick)
Lineage: Eukaryota; Metazoa; Arthropoda; Arachnida; Ixodida; Ixodidae
Source: RefSeq, a predicted model, not a curated record
GUAUUCGGUUCUUGCUUCGCCACUGGUUAGCCUGUACGCUUCUAUUUUCUUGUGGGCAAUCUAGUAUUCGAGAGUGAAACGAUGUUAGUUGUGAACAGUGGUGCUGUGUUUUGUUGACGUUUCCAAGACUUGUGAAGAAGCUGUGCUCAUGUGACCGAAAAUUGAAAGACAGCGUUGAUAACUGUUUUGCCCUGUGAAGUCGCGGUGGUGGAGCUUGGCGCUUUUAUUUGUUAACUCGUCCCUUCUCGUUUUUGUGAUAACCAUAGUCCUAGUGCAUGAUGUGAUGAACCGAAGCUGCGAGAUGCUACAUUUUGUUGUGAAUCGUGCUACUUUGGCAGCGCGCUGAAGUUGUAAGCCAGUGCCGGCUAACUACAGGUUUCCGAGUUCGUCUGGCCAUCGUUUUUCACAGCAUUAGAGCCUUGACAACAGCCGGUCAUGGCCAGUUCUUACAAUACAUCAAUGGACGUGCCCACCUGGCCAGCCCUUCAUUGCUGUCACCGGCAGCUUCCAGUCUGCAGAUGUCCUUUACCUGUCGGCCAUAGAGCACUCUUGGUUCCUCAUGACACCGACGGCUACUAAAUGCUGCCAUCGCUAGCCUACUUCAGCAGCAGUGCGAUGCAGCCAGCAACCAUGCAAGCCAAGUCACGGAGCGCUCCUUCGGUAUUCUGUACAGGACGCAGCAUAUUCAUCCGGCAAGACACUGGUAUCAACAAUAAAGUUCUAGCACUAGCAAGGGAUCCAGUGCUCCACCAUCAUGUACAGUGUAUCAAGAACAGAGCACAGAAGACCAAAAAGUAUAAAGGGACUGCCAGUGACUAUUCUCCUGCUCAAAGUUUACGACAGCAGAAAGAGCACAUUGUGAUGUCAGGAGCAGUUUGAAUUGUAUACGUAGUAACAUUCUGCGCAGCUGCAGCUUAACUUUUUAGCAGUGCAUUAUUCAGCAGUUUUUUUUUGCUUGCAUUACAAAUUAAUUAAAUUUUGCAUGGAAG